RNAcentral lists this ribosomal RNA (422 nucleotides) under Verrucomicrobiota bacterium. RNAcentral describes it as "Verrucomicrobia bacterium partial 16S ribosomal RNA". It matches the Rfam family "Bacterial small subunit ribosomal RNA", at positions 355 to 776 of the family's 1533-position model. The record is from RNAcentral. Lineage: Bacteria; Pseudomonadati; Verrucomicrobiota.
UGGGGAAUUUUGCACAAUGGGCGCAAGCCUGAUGCAGCGACGCCGCGUGAGGGAUGAAGGCCUUCGGGUUGUAAACCUUUUUCGCUCAUGGUCAAGCCGCAGCUUUGGGUUGUGGUGAGGGUAGUGGGUAAAGAAGCGCCGGCUAACUACGUGCCAGCAGCCGCGGUAAAACGUAGGGCGCGAGCGUUGUCCGGAAUUAUUGGGCGUAAAGGGCUUGGAGGCGGUUGGCCGCGUCUGCCGUGAAAUCCUCUGGCUUAACUGGGGGCGUGCGGUGGGUACGGGUUGACUUGAGUGCGGUAGGGGAGACUGGAAUUCCUGGUGUAGCGGUGGAAUGCGCAGAUAUCAGGAGGAACACCGGUGGCGAAGGCGGGUCUCUGGGCCGUUACUGACGCUGAGGAGCGAAAGCGUGGGGAGCGAACAGG